UCACUGCUUUUUGCUAACGGCUGAGUGGACGUUUCCAUUUGAAAAAAAAACAACGGAUAAGACGCAGAUGGACCCGCCCUAUAUAAUGUGUUUUAAUUUGUUUGAGACAGAAUUAUCUAUUUAAAAGUUUCUUUCUGGUGAAAUGUGACAAAUACAAUCCAGCUUUGACUCAAUCAAGUUAAAGUCCGAUUUUUCUAAAUGACGACUGAAGGGAGCAGAUUUACUUCAACCUUUAUUACGUUUCUUCUAGUUUUCAGUCGCAGUGAGACGUCUUACCGUACAGGAAAUCUUUGAAUGAUCAACCUGCUGCACAAAAGUAGAGCUGGAGACGAAGCUCAGCCGAGGAAGGUGGAGAUGAAGACGCUGGUGUCCAGGUUGAGGGUGGCGUGCCACCAGCGGUCGGGGAAAUACAGCACCUGAUGGAGGAACAACAACAACGACACUUCAGUGAACCCUGACGGACAGACAGACGGACACACGUCUGAUGGUGCACUCCAGCGGAGCCUCGUCCUCCGUCAGCUGGGGGUAGGUCUCCGUCACCCAGGCCAGGGUGGUCCGGUUCGGGUGGAAAUGAGGCUCCUUGUCAGGCGG
Molecule: long non-coding RNA, 591 nt
Organism: Sebastes umbrosus (honeycomb rockfish)
Lineage: Eukaryota; Metazoa; Chordata; Actinopteri; Perciformes; Sebastidae
Exons: 3
Source: RefSeq, a predicted model, not a curated record